RNAcentral lists this ribosomal RNA (497 nucleotides) under uncultured bacterium. Its description in RNAcentral is "partial 16S ribosomal RNA". It matches the Rfam family "Bacterial small subunit ribosomal RNA", at positions 28 to 507 of the family's 1533-position model. The record is from RNAcentral.
GAUGAACGCUGGCGGCGUGCCUAAUACAUGCAAGUCGAGCGAACGGACGAGAAGCUUGCUUUUCUGACGUUAGCGGCGGACGGGGGAGUAACACGUGGAUAACCUACCUAGAAGACUGGGAUAAAUUCGGGAAACCGGAGCUAAUACCGGAUAAUAUUUUGAACCGCAUGGUUCAAAAGUGAAAGACGGUCUUGCUGUCACUUAUAGAUGGAUCCGCGCUGCAUUAGCUAGUUGGUAAGGUAACGGCUUACCAAGGCAACGAUGCAUAGCCGACCUGAGAGGGUGAUCGGCCACACUGGAACUGAGACACGGUCCAGACUCCUACGGGAGGCAGCAGUAGGGAAUCUUGCGCAAUGGGCGAAAGCCUGACGGAGCAACGCCGCGUGAGUGAUGAAGGUCUUCGGAUCGUAAAACUCUGUUAGUAGGGAAGAACAUAUGUGUAAGUAACUGUUCACAUCUUGACGGUACCUAAUCAGAAAGCCACGGCUAACUACGUG